RNAcentral lists this ribosomal RNA (884 nucleotides) under uncultured bacterium. RNAcentral's name for it is "bacterial SSU rRNA". It matches the Rfam family "Bacterial small subunit ribosomal RNA", at positions 8 to 916 of the family's 1533-position model. The record is from RNAcentral.
AGAGUUUGAUCAUGGCUCAGGACGAACGCUGGCGGCGUGCCUAACACAUGCAAGUCGAGCGAGGAACUUCGGUUCCUAGCGGCGGACGGGUGAGUAACACGUGGGUAACCUGCCUUAUAGAGGGGGAUAGCCUUCCGAAAGGAAGAUUAAUACCGCAUAAAGUCUGAUUUUCACAUGAGAAUUUGACCAAAGGAGCAAUCUGCUAUAAGAUGGACCCGCGGCGCAUUAGCUAGUUGGUGAGGUAACGGCUCACCAAGGCGACGAUGCGUAGCCGACCUGAGAGGGUGAUCGGCCACAUUGGAACUGAGAUACGGUCCAGACUCCUACGGGAGGCAGCAGUGGGGAAUAUUGCACAAUGGGCGAAAGCCUGAUGCAGCAACGCCGCGUGAGUGAUGAAGGCCUUCGGGUUGUAAAGCUCUGUCUUUUGGGACGAUAAUGACGGUACCAAAGGAGGAAGCCACGGCUAACUACGUGCCAGCAGCCGCGGUAAUACGUAGGUGGCAAGCGUUGUCCGGAUUUACUGGGCGUAAAGAAUGCGUAGGCGGAUAUUUAAGUGGGAUGUGAAAUACCCGGGCUCAACUUGGGUGCUGCAUUCCAAACUGGAUAUCUAGAGUGCGGGAGAGGAGAGUGGAAUUCCUAGUGUAGCGGUGAAAUGCGUAGAGAUUAGGAAGAACACCAGUGGCGAAGGCGACUCUCUGGACCGUAACUGACGCUGAGGCAUGAAAGCGUGGGGAGCAAACAGGAUUAGAUACCCUGGUAGUCCACGCCGUAAACGAUGGGUACUAGGUGUAGGAGGUAUCGACUCCUUCUGUGCCGCAGUUAACACAAUAAGUACCCCGCCUGGGGAGUACGGUCGCAAGAUUAAAACUCAAAGGAAUUGACGG